This 405-nucleotide ribosomal RNA is filed under the name uncultured bacterium. Its description in RNAcentral is "partial 16S ribosomal RNA". It matches the Rfam family "Bacterial small subunit ribosomal RNA", at positions 28 to 526 of the family's 1533-position model. The record is from RNAcentral.
GACGAACGCUGGCGGCGUGCUUAACACAUGCAAGUCGAGCGGAGCGGCGAACGGGUGCGUAACGCGUGAGUAACUGCCCCCCUCUCUGGGAUAACAGUUGGAAACGGCUGCUAAUACCGGAUAGUGGGGGAUGACUCGCGUCCUAUCAGCUUGUUGGUGGGGUAGUGGCCUACCAAGGCGACGACGGGUAGCCGGCCUGAGAGGGGGACCGGCCACAGUGGGCUGAGAUACGGCCCAAACGAGUACGGGAGGCAGCAGUGGGGAAGAUUGCACAAUGAGGGAAAGCCUGGUGCAGCAGCGCCGCGUGCGGGAUGGCGGCCUUCGGGUUGUGAACCGCUUUCAGCCAUGACGCGGUAGUAGCAGAAGAAGCACCGGCUAACUACGUGCCAGCAGCCGCGGUAAUAC